This 274-nucleotide ribosomal RNA is filed under the name uncultured Acidimicrobiales bacterium. RNAcentral's name for it is "partial 16S ribosomal RNA". It matches the Rfam family "Bacterial small subunit ribosomal RNA", at positions 524 to 796 of the family's 1533-position model. Lineage: Bacteria; Bacillati; Actinomycetota; Acidimicrobiia; Acidimicrobiales. The record is from RNAcentral.
UACGUAGGGAGCGAGCGUUGUCCGGAUUUAUUGGGCGUAAAGCGCUCGUAGGCGGCUUGGUAAGUCGGAUGUGAAAGCUCCAGGCUCAACCUGGAGUCGCCAUCCGAUACUGCCAUAGCUAGAGUCCGGUAGGGGCCCACGGAACUCCUGGUGUAGCGGUGAAAUGCGCAGAUGUCAGGAAGAACACCGGUGGCGAAGGCGGUGGGCUGGGCCGGUACUGACGCUGAGGAGCGAAAGCGUGGGGAGCGAACAGGAUUAGAUACCCUAGUAGUCC